Long non-coding RNA from Doryrhamphus excisus (bluestripe pipefish), 448 nucleotides. RefSeq lists it as uncharacterized. NCBI's taxonomy places the organism in Eukaryota, Metazoa, Chordata, Actinopteri, Syngnathiformes, Syngnathidae. The record is from RefSeq and is a predicted model, not a curated record.
GAAGAAAUCAUGUCUGCUGUCUUGUGUGGGAUUGGCAUUUCCACAGUGAUAAUCACCAAAAUGUUAUGGGUUCCUCUUCAGAAGAUUAGAUUAGCAGAUUUGCCAUAAUCCUGCUAACAUGGAAACACUGCACAUGACAGAGGUUGUUUGGCAUCUCCAGUCUCCACCAGCUGGACCCCCUCACUGACAACCUGCUUGCCCACAGAGUCUGCUGGGGUUGGAGGGUGAUGAAACAUGGGUGCUGGUGAUCCCUCUAAACAUACACAUAAAAUCAGUGACGUUGCAUUCAACACCCGCUAGGUUAAGCAGGCAGCUCCUCAGAGGCUCUAUUCCUCCUUAACCCUUCGUUGCCAGUCCAGGAUGAGGAGGGGAAAGGAAUGAGGUGGGCUAAGGGGGCCUCCAGCUCUUUAAAGAUGGAUUGAUUCUCCUCAUGCAUGCUUGUACAGUA